UACAGAGGGUGCAAGCGUUAUUCGGAGUUAUUGGGCGUAAAGAGCGCGUAGGCGGCUCGAUAAGUUUGGUGUGAAAUCCCUGGACUCAAUCCAGGAAGUGCAUUGAAUACUGUCGAGCUAGAGUGCAGGAGAGGUGAGCGGAAUUCCUGGUGUAGAGGUGAAAUUCGUAGAUAUCAGGAGGAACAACAGAGGCGAAGGCGGCUCACUGGACUGAUACUGACGCUGAGGCGCGAAAGCGUGGGGAGCAAACAGG
Molecule: ribosomal RNA, 253 nt
Filed under: uncultured bacterium
Lineage: Bacteria
Description: partial 16S ribosomal RNA
Rfam family: Bacterial small subunit ribosomal RNA
Source: RNAcentral